RNAcentral lists this long non-coding RNA (1160 nucleotides) under Cyanistes caeruleus (blue tit). RNAcentral describes it as "lncRNA (ENSCCEG00000024167.1)". The record is from RNAcentral. Lineage: Eukaryota; Metazoa; Chordata; Aves; Passeriformes; Paridae.
GACACAGUGGCCCAUGAAGUGGAACCCUCUGAAAUGCAGUACAGUUAUUGGAAGCAAAUAUGAGUAUGAGGAUCCAAUGGCACAGAAACACCUGAAGACAAAGUGCUUUGUGGAUAUAUAUCAGGUAGCCCAUGAAGCUUUGGUGAGACAGUUUUUGUGAGGCUAUACAAAGAAUAGAUUGUGUAGAAUUUUUGUGAACCCCUGGUUCAGAAGGUCAGUGUUGAAAUUCUACUCCAUUUCACAAAUGUGUGGCCGUAUGCUGCCAUCUGUCUGUUCUGCAGCUGGGAGUUAAUAGUGCACUGUUAAUGUUAUGUUCCAAAUUGCAGCUAUUUUUUGUGUUUCUGAAAAGCUGUUAAAACUCAUGAUUUAUUAUUUUAUCUCAUUUUUAAACAGUUUUUUAGUCUGCUUUGGUUCUUUGUGGGAAAGUAAACUGCAAGGCUGAAAGGUUUGACGUCUCUAAACAGCUAAUUUUUCCUCUCCAAAACACAAAAAAAUGUCACUCUUAUACUUUCUAUAGAAAGAAAGAAAAACUGAAUUAGUGUUGUCUGUGAUAUCUGUCAUUCUCGCAAAUCUUACUGUGUCAAUGUAGCACCAAAUUAAACACACUAUGAAAUGUUAAUUCAAGCCAAAUUCAGUGAUGUGCUUAUUAUUAACUCAUUUAUUGUAAAAGUCUUGAAACUGAAUUGGGACUGACUAGCAACCUACAAAUUUUGUACAUUAAAGACUAAUACAUGUUAUUAUUGUGAAAAGAUUGUAAAGGAAGAAAGAUAUUGCAUGUUGUAGUUAAAACCCAGUUUGAAACUAAGACGCAGAUGCUUGCUGACUCCACUCUGUGCCUGCUCCCCUGGUAGGGAGGAGAAUUGGGAAAAAAAAGCAAAAUUUGCCAGUUAGACAAGAACAGUUUAAGAAUGGGAAAAAUUAUAAUAACAUUAAUUGUAAUAAUAACAGUGAGAAAACAAUAAUAUUACUUAAUUGAAAUUUGUUAAUAAUAAUUGUCAUGAAAAUGAAAGAAAGAGAGAGAGGAACAAAACCCAAAAGAAAUAGGACACAGUUGCUCACCACCUGCUGAUGGAUGCUCAGCCCAUCCCCAAGCAGUGAUCGGCCCCUCCCAGCCGACUCUCCCAGUUCCUGUCCCGAGUGUGCCCUCCCAUGCUGUGGGA